CAGUAGCCGCGGUAAAACGAAGGGGGCUAGCGUUGUUCGGAUUUACUGGGCGUAAAGGGUGCGUAGGCGGACUGAUAAGUCAGGGGUGAAAUCCCAAGGCUCAACCUUGGAACUGCCUUUGAUACUGUUAGUCUUGAGUUCGAGAGAGGUAAGUGGAACUGCGAGUGUAGAGGUGAAAUUCGUAGAUAUUCGCAAGAACACCAGUGGCGAAGGCGGCUCACUGGCUCGAAACCGACGCUGAGGCACGAAAGCGUGGGGAGCAAACAGGAUUAGAUACCCCAGUAGUCCCUGUCUCUUAUAC
RNAcentral lists this ribosomal RNA (301 nucleotides) under uncultured bacterium. Its description in RNAcentral is "partial 16S ribosomal RNA". It matches the Rfam family "Bacterial small subunit ribosomal RNA", at positions 509 to 807 of the family's 1533-position model. The record is from RNAcentral.